UACGUAGGGUGCGAGCGUUAAUCGGAAUUACUGGGCGUAAAGCGUGCGCAGGCGGUUGUGUAAGACAGGUGUGAAAUCCCCGGGCUUAACCUGGGAACUGCAUUUGUGACUGCAUCGCUGGAGUGCGGCAGAGGGGGAUGGAAUUCCGCGUGUAGCAGUGAAAUGCGUAGAUAUGCGGAGGAACACCGAUGGCGAAGGCAAUCCCCUGGGCCUGCACUGACGCUCAUGCACGAAAGCGUGGGGAGCAAACAGG
RNAcentral lists this ribosomal RNA (253 nucleotides) under uncultured bacterium. RNAcentral's name for it is "partial 16S ribosomal RNA". It matches the Rfam family "Bacterial small subunit ribosomal RNA", at positions 524 to 776 of the family's 1533-position model. The record is from RNAcentral.